This 497-nucleotide ribosomal RNA is filed under the name uncultured bacterium. Its description in RNAcentral is "partial 16S ribosomal RNA". It matches the Rfam family "Bacterial small subunit ribosomal RNA", at positions 28 to 507 of the family's 1533-position model. The record is from RNAcentral.
GACGAACGCUGGCGGCGUGCCUAAUACAUGCAAGUAGAACGCUGAAGAGAGGAGCUUGCUCUUCUUGGAUGAGUUGCGAACGGGUGAGUAACGCGUAGGUAACCUGCCUUGUAGCGGGGGAUAACUAUUGGAAACGAUAGCUAAUACCACAUAACAAUGGAUGACACAUGUCAUUUAUUUGAAAGGGGCAAUUGCUCCACUACAAGAUGGACCUGCGUUGUAUUAGCUAGUAGGUGAGGUAACGGCUCACCUAGGCGACGCUACAUAGCCGACCUGAGAGGGUGAUCGGCCACACUGGGACUGAGACACGGCCCAGACUCCUACGGGAGGCAGCAGUAGGGAAUCUUCGGCAAUAGGGGCAACCCUGACCGAGCAACGCCGCGUGAGUGAAGAAGGUUUUCGGAUCGUAAAGCUCUGUUGUAAGUCAAGAACGAGUGUGAGAGUGGAAAGUUCACACUGUGACGGUAGCUUACCAGAAAGGGACGGCUAACUACGUG